GAUUAGAGCGGUUCAAACAAUACAGAAGUGUAUAAAGUAAGAAUUGAAAGUCUCUUCGCUGCUCUAAUCUCACUCCUCAGAGGUGAUCACUGUGUGGAAGAUGAUCAAAGUAUGACAUUUCUUCUACCCCAGAGGCUGGCAUUUCUGCAGGCACAAAUGAGCUUGGUUUUCAAGCACUGCUCUUUGAACACAAGGAAUUCCUUUAAUGAUCACGCCGGACUAUAUAGACUUUGGAAUCAGACUCUUUGAAUUCCAGCUCUGCCAUUUACCAACUUUGACACUUUGGGGUUUUGGAAAUCUGGAUUGUAGCAGGGCAUUGUAAG
Molecule: long non-coding RNA, 323 nt
Filed under: Homo sapiens (human)
Lineage: Eukaryota; Metazoa; Chordata; Mammalia; Primates; Hominidae
Description: non-protein coding lnc-NBPF11-1:25
Source: RNAcentral